Molecule: ribosomal RNA, 359 nt
Filed under: Meyerozyma sp.
Lineage: Eukaryota; Fungi; Ascomycota; Pichiomycetes; Serinales; Debaryomycetaceae
Description: eukaryotic LSU rRNA
Rfam family: Eukaryotic large subunit ribosomal RNA
Source: RNAcentral
GCCUUAGUAGCGGCGAGUGAAGCGGCAAAAGCUCAAAUUUGAAAUCUGGCACCUUCGGUGUCCGAGUUGUAAUUUGAAGAUUGUAACCUUGGGGUUGGCUCUUGUCUAUGUUUCUUGGAACAGGACGUCACAGAGGGUGAGAAUCCCGUGCGAUGAGAUGCCCAAUCCUAUGUAAGGUGCUUUCGAAGAGUCGAGUUGUUUGGGAAUGCAGCUCUAAGUGGGUGGUAAAUUCCAUCUAAAGCUAAAUAUUGGCGAGAGACCGAUAGCGAACAAGUACAGUGAUGGAAAGAUGAAAAGAACUUUGAAAAGAGAGUGAAAAAGUACGUGAAAUUGUUGAAAGGGAAGGGUUUGAGAUCAAA